Molecule: long non-coding RNA, 1114 nt
Organism: Raphanus sativus (radish)
Lineage: Eukaryota; Viridiplantae; Streptophyta; Magnoliopsida; Brassicales; Brassicaceae
Exons: 5
Source: RefSeq, a predicted model, not a curated record
GUUUCGAUAGUUACACAAACAAGAAAUGCUGGGCUUAGAUCAUUAUGCAUCUUCUUCCUCAAUCUAACCUAGCCGUCAACAUGAAGCAGUGAAAGAAGUCUUUAACGUUGCCUUCCAGAUCGUUAUGCAUCUUGAGUAUUAAUCUCCUCCUCCUUUUCUGAUGUUCCAUUCUUUCUUCUUAUUUUUCGUCGUUUUUCAACCGUGGAUUUGGAGAGCUGCCGCGUACGUCUCUGUUCAUCAACGUCACCAACGGACUACCAUUGCAAGCCAUGGAUUUCGGCUCUCCUCUUUGUUUUAAGGCGGCGGGGUGACGCCUGAGGUUCCUCCCAGUCUCUGAAACUGUCAGAUUUAUGACUUUUUAUUUGUAUUUUUACUCAACGCUGAUUUGUUUGGUGGUAGAGGAGACCAUCGACUCUGCUUGCUGUUUAAAAUAAAUCCAGAUUCAAACCUCUCCACCUAGCAGAUUCCGAAGUCUUUAAGAUCACAUGAGAGCCUGGGGUUGUUAUUGCACCAAGUUUGCAGCUUUAGAUGAUCGUUUUCUCCAUAAGGUCUUGGGAUGGAGUAUAGUGGAGGAUGAAGCGGGUGGUCUUUAAACAUGGGAUGAGAGAGUAUGUCAUCGGAGAUUUCAUCAAUUUGUUUGGAAGCUUCGCUAUUAAAUUUUGGCACAAUCCUUCUCAAAUUGAGACUAAUAAGAGAGAGAGAGAGAGGGAGUGAUGUAACGAACGGCUACUUGACUCCGUGUUCAGGGGAAACUCACCCACCUAUAUUUAGGUCUCCAGUGAAAGGUAUUGAGGGCAUCUUGACCAACCAACUCAUGUGAGAAUACAGACUUAGAUCAGAGGUUUCUUCUAACUCUUAGUGCCUCAGCUUCCAAAUCCUUUCCAGUCUCACUCGCUCUUCUUCUCCUACGAUUAGUUGUGCUUCCGUUUCAACUUCCUCUCUUGAGAUUCUCUCCAUAUGUGUGCUGAUUGAGUUUUCCAAUCAUCACAGUAUUUUCUUAACUGCGUAUGUGAAAUUCUUGUGGUGUUUAAGUCGGUGAAAAUAUCAUGUUGAUGCUCUGUUAUACUUUAAUGUAUAUUUAAUUUUCAUUGUAUGAAACAUAUUACACGACAAA